RNAcentral lists this ribosomal RNA (237 nucleotides) under uncultured bacterium. RNAcentral's name for it is "partial 16S ribosomal RNA". It matches the Rfam family "Bacterial small subunit ribosomal RNA", at positions 118 to 354 of the family's 1533-position model. The record is from RNAcentral.
UGAGCAAUCUGCCCUUCUCUUUGGAAUAAGCGUUGGAAACGACGUCUAAUGCCGAAUACGACCUCCUUUCGCAUGAUCGGAGGUGGAAAGCUCCGGCGGAGAAGGAUGAGCUCGCGGCCUAUCAGCUAGUUGGUGUGGGUAAUGGCCCACCAAGGCGACGACGGGUAGCCGGCCUAAGAGGGUGACCGGCCACACUGGGACUGAGACACGACCCAGACUCCUACGGGAGGCAGCAGG